AGUAGUUGAUCAUGGCUCGAGGACGAACGCUGGCGGCGUGCUUAACACAUGCAAGUCGAACGGAAAGGCCCUUCGGGGUACUCGAGUGGCGAACGGGUGAGUAACACGUGGGUGAUCUGCCCUGCACUUUGGGAUAAGCCUGGGAAACUGGGUCUAACACCGGAUAGGACUACGGCCUGCAUGGGUUGUGGUGGAAAGCUUUUGCGGUGUGGGAUGGGCCCGCGGCCUAUCAGCUUGUUGGUGGGGUGAUGGCCUACCAAGGCGACGACGGGUAGCCGGCCUGAGAGGGUGACCGGCCACACUGGGACUGAGAUACGGCCCAGACUCCUACGGGAGGCAGCAGUGGGGAAUAUUGCACAAUGGGCGCAAGCCUGAUGCAGCGACGCCGCGUGGGGGAUGACGGCCUUCGGGUUGUAAACCUCUUUCAGUAGGGACGAAGCGUAAGUGACGGUACCUAUAGAAGAAGCACCGGCCAACUACGUG
Molecule: ribosomal RNA, 483 nt
Filed under: uncultured bacterium
Lineage: Bacteria
Description: bacterial SSU rRNA
Rfam family: Bacterial small subunit ribosomal RNA
Source: RNAcentral